Molecule: long non-coding RNA, 2977 nt
Organism: Parasteatoda tepidariorum (common house spider)
Lineage: Eukaryota; Metazoa; Arthropoda; Arachnida; Araneae; Theridiidae
Source: RefSeq, a predicted model, not a curated record
UACUCCUGAAAGAGGUAAGAAAUAAUAUAUUUUCUGGAGAGGACAAAAAGUUUAAAAGGAAGUAUCAUAUUGGAACAUACAUAUAUUAGGGGGACCGGAAAGUAAUGUCCUUUCGGUGCAUUUGAUAUUGGGUUUCAAGAUUUUAUUUUUAAUUAGUAAUGUAUUCAUUCUCGUUAGCAACAACUUUUCAAUGCCAAAUCAAAAAUAAAUCUAAAAAAAUGAAUUGGUUUUUGAGACUAACGAAUAUCUAAUGCACCGAAAUAACAUUACUUCCUGGUCCCCCUAAAACAAAAAAAUUCAAAUCGAUAUAUUAAAUUCAAUUUUACGUAAAUGUAAAUUGAAGUUAUUGUUUCGUAACAAAUGUAUUAUUUCAUAUAAAAUAAUUCUUAAAUGUAAAAUAUUGAAAUUUUAAUCAUCUUGAAAUUCAUUAUUAUGGUUUCCUAAAAAUUAUAUUUUAUUCUUCAAAAAAUUUUUAAUGUAAGCCAAGUAUUCAAAUUCAAUUUCCUAAUAAAAAGAUAUGCUAGUGAUCUACUACUAGCUAUUUACAAAGUUUUAGUGUAAUACUAAAUCGUUGGUUGAACCCCUAUGUGCACACCACUGAUUUGAAACCAUGUAGGUGUUUACAAAUUUUUUGAUCUUUAGGUUGAAUUCAACUACUCAAAAGCCUUUUUUGAAUUAAUGGUUUAGUCAAUGUGAGACAUAGACUUGGCAGCAACAUGUAAACAGGUUACAUUUAUAACAGAUCCUAUUUUUGACUAUGUACAAAAGAAUUUUUUUUUAAAAAUGGCUCAGUAUAGCUAAAUAUGAUUUGCAGGUUCAUGAAAGAUACAAGAAAACUAACCUUCAUUUGAAAGCCUUUUAACACAAGAAAUAUGAAUCUUGGAAAUGCAGUGCUAUUGAAAAAUUAAACAAGCUUCUUCAUUCAAAUAUAUUGAGAAGACUUCAUAGUUAACCAAAUACCAUAAAAGGAAGAAGGAGUGGAUGCAUUUUGAACAGUUUUGUGACAAAUAAGAAAGGUAGUAUCUGAAAUUAACAGCUGCAUCCAAUUACUGUCCACUUGUGACCAAGUACUUAAGAAUGAGAGCUUAUUGGUCAAGAUUCCUUCGUGUGCAGUAAGUUUCUCAUUUGAAAUAUUUCAUUAAAUUAAAUUUUCAUGUUCAAUCAAGCAUUUUAAAUGUUUUCUAACGUUUGAAUGCUUUCUAACGUUUGAAUGCUUGCUGUCAUUGAACAUUUGCUCUAAUGUCAUUCCAUCACACAUAAAAAAUUUUUUCCAAUAAGGUAUUUAGUACUUUUAAGGCAUUUUUUCUUAAAUAUGAUAUUUCAUUUUUAAAAAAAUCGAAGGAAGGUUCAAUGUACAUGAACACUGUUUUAAAUUUUUUCAAAGAAAUCAAGUGAAAGUUUCAGAAGUUAUUGAUACUAACAUUUAGUAUUGUAGGGGAAGGUCUUCUGUUAUUAAAUAAGAGACAUGUUUAUUUCGAAAAUAAAUUUCGUUAUUAACUGACUAAUUAAUUAUGUAGAAAAACUACUUCUUUCUUUCUUUUUUUGGUGAUAGUGUAGCCAAAGGAUGCAAAAUCAGGGUUUAAUAUAAACAUAGGCCUAUUGAUCACAGAGGAAACCUAAUAAAAAAUUUUACCAUUUAAAAUUAUGUAUUUCAUAAUAAAUAUUAUUUAAUUUAUUCCAUUAAUCAAGUUUGAAGUAAAAUUAGGAAAACAAUCAAGGAUUAGGAAAAUACAGCAACAUGAACUAUUAAGAUUAAAAAAAGCAAAAUAUUAAUUAAAUAUUAAUUGCAGUCAUAAUUAUCAUACUUUAUUUCAAUAAAAUUGAUAAAUAACAACAAUAUUAACAAUAAGGUUGUUGACAAAAAGCUUAACUAAUUGAAAAGUCUGGACACAACAAAACAAAUUAGAGCUUCAACGCACAGUGCACCCAAACAAAUAGUAUAUCCCUAUUGUAACUCAUAUUCCAAUAAACCUACAACAGUUACAAAAAAUAGGCUGUUCAGAAGUUUUGUCAACUUUUGAUAAGUGAAGCAUAGACAGGUCUUAUGUCAAAAUAAUUAAGAGCAAUUGACAUAUCCUUUUAGAAGGAAAUUCAGAAAAGUACUGCUUCCACCCAAUUCAAGUUUGUAAUUACUGGCUAAUAAUCAUUUGCAAUUAUGGUUUUUACGCAACUAUCUAAGCAGAAUUUUUUAAAAUACACUUGAAAUAAUGUUUGUUAUUUAUAACGAGCUAAUAAGACACACUGCUAAAAGAGUGAUUGUAUAUCUUAAUGUAUAAGUCAAUUUUUCAAGCCCAAAAAAUUUUAGGAACAUCAAGGGGUCAACUUAAACACCGUUAGUAAAGUCGAGCAAUCAUAGAUUGUGAAAUAUCGAUGCAUUAUAAACAAUAAGAUAUAUGAAUAACUCUGUAUCAAAUUACCCCCUACAAAAAGUAUUCUUAAUAUGUUAUAUACAAUUAAUUUUGCAUUUCCUCUCAUUCUACUUUCUUUGCAUAUAAAAGUAAUUUUAGAAACAAUAUUUUAAUUUACGGUCAGAAAUAAAUUAAGACAAUUCAUUUAAGAGUAUUUCAAACAUAUAAUGCAGUGAAAACUUUUAAAAUAUGCUAUAAAAGUACGAUUUAAAGAUUCCAAAACAUAAUCUUUGUUGUAAUCAAUAACGCUAGCAAUGUUGCUUCAAUACAUUCUACUGCAUCUUCAUCUGCUAAGUUCCACAAAAAAUCAUUUGCACAUCACCCUAAGAAUUCAAAACUUUCGCUUUUAAAAAUUUUACAAAUGUAUCAUGAGGCCUGGUGGCUAAAUGGUAGCACUUUGAGCAGCCACAAGUCAGGGGUUCUAUUUUGGUUAGAGAAAGAUUGACUCAGCCUUUCAUCUUGUGUAGGGGUCAAUAAAAUAAGUACCAAUCAUACUUAGGGAUGAAACACUGGUGGUUCAACACUUGGCUGAUCACCCAACCAGAACAUCUGGUCCUGCACCAAAAGCC